UAAAUGUCUUGGCUUUACGUUUUUUGUGCACUGAUGAUGAUUUUUUUCUUAUUCUGUUUGUUUUUUUUUUUUUUAAAAAAGCAAUA
RNAcentral lists this unclassified non-coding RNA (86 nucleotides) under soil metagenome. Its description in RNAcentral is "partial internal transcribed spacer 1". The record is from RNAcentral.